GAAGAAUUGUUUUCAUUUCUGGGCUCGGUCUUUGAGUCUUUUGACUGCAUCUUGCACUAUUCUGGAUUGCUUGAGAUAGAAACAUUGUUUGUCUAGGAAGACGCAGAGACCCACCUUUUUCAAGGUGCAAUGAUUAGGCAAAAAAUUAUGGCAGUGAAGGCUCUCUGCUUGCUGUUCCACACUGAGGGGUCUACAGCACAUACACCUACUGCAAACGAGAGGGAGGAAGGCCAUUCCCACGAGGAGGAUGUGGGCCUCUGGAAUGGAUGUGAGAUGGAGUCUGGUUGGCCCGAGGACGACGCUGCAGUACUGACGAAUGGCUGGCGAGGAAGGAGUAGACGGACCAGUGGGGGCCUUGGGGACCUGUUUUAACGUGGAAAGAUGAUAUCAAGAAGGUAAUGAGAUGUAGGAUGGUGGACAAGACAGCAUUCAAAGACCCGGAAGUAGAAGGUGCCAUGCAUCUAACCAUCAUGGAAUCCACGCAACCACAGCACCCCUCUCCCCCUUGUUCUGUAAAUAGGAGGAUGACAAAGACAUAUUCUCUUUUUGUCGUUUUACGGUAUUCUGUCGGUAGCAAGUAACAAUAUUAGCAAUAAAAAGUAAAAUUAAAA
Molecule: long non-coding RNA, 611 nt
Organism: Sapajus apella (tufted capuchin)
Lineage: Eukaryota; Metazoa; Chordata; Mammalia; Primates; Cebidae
Exons: 4
Source: RefSeq, a predicted model, not a curated record